UGAGCCAAUCAUGUGUUUCAGCCU
This 24-nucleotide non-coding RNA is filed under the name Arabidopsis thaliana (thale cress). The record is from RNAcentral. Lineage: Eukaryota; Viridiplantae; Streptophyta; Magnoliopsida; Brassicales; Brassicaceae.